AAUAAAGCUGCUUUUACAAAGUAAGUCAGACCAUGGUAUAAAAGGCAUUUGAAAGAACUGUUUUGAAUUCUAGGAGACAAGCACAAUAGUGAUUUCCAUAGUCAACAAGGGAGAAUACAUGAACUUAUACAUAGGUCUACUGGAAGUUUUUAGUAUAAUUCUAUUAAAAUGAAGCAAAUAGAAGAAAUAUGAAACAAAACUUUUGUGUAUAUGUAUGCACAUAUAUAUUCACAUGCCUCUAAAUAAAAGUAAAUACAUUCAAUAUAAUUCCAAUAAGUAAUAAAAAUAAAUAAAUUUUGUAACUACUAGGGAUUUUGAAAUAAAUUACUAAAUAUUCUAUUAUUCAAAGAAAAUUCAACAUACAAUUAUUAUUCACUUAGAAAAUAAUAAAAUAAGAACAUUUUAAAUAAAAACUAAUAGAACAUAGUUAAAUUUAUUUUGAAAAUACCUUAAAGGUCUUCAAUAUUGAAAAAAUAAAGAUGGGGACUGGCACGGUGGCUCAUGCUUGCAAUCCCAGCACUUUGGGAGGCCGACAUGGGCAGAUCAUGAGAUCACGAGAUCAAGACCAUCCUGGCCAACAUGGUGAAACCCUGUCUCUACUAAAAAUAGAAAAUUUAGCUUUCUGGGCAUGGUGGCACAUGCCUGUAGUCCCAGCUACAUGGUAGGCUUAGGAAGGAGAAUCUCUUGAACCCAGGAGGUGGAGGUUGCAUUGAGCCAAGAUCAUGCCACUGCAGUCUAGCCUGGUGACAGAGAGAGACUCUGUCUCAAAAAAACAAAACAAACAAACAAACAAAAAACACAAAGAUGUAAGUGAAGGACAUAUAUAUUAUUCAUUAUAAGAAAUUAAAUAAUGAACAAAAAUCAAUCUGAAGAUAUAUGUAGAGAAAAAUAGUGAAAUUAGUAUGGAAAAUUUUAUAUAAUUUUAAUGCAAAAACAAUAACUGUAAAAUCUGAUCCUUGUAAAAAUAUCAAUAAAACUGGUAAAUUCCUUAAAAUAAGGUUUUCAAAAAUGGAGGACAGCAAACAAUAUUAGAUUAGGACUAAAAAAGAAAAUAUGAGAUAUAUAAAUAAAUGUAAACUAAUCAGCCCGGCACGAUGGCUCACGCCUAUAAUCCCAGCACUUUGGGAGGCUGAGGCAGGUGGAUCACCUGAGGUUGGGAGUUCGAGACCAGGCUGACCAACAUGGAGAAACCCCGUCUCUACUAAAAAUACAAGCAAAUUAGCCGGGCGUGGUGGCGCAUUCCUGUAAUCCUUGCUACUCCAGAGGCUGAGGCAGGAGAAUCACUUGAACCCAGGAGGUGGAGGUUGCAGUGAGCCAAGAUCAUGCCCUUGCACUACAGCCUGGGCAAAGAAAGCAAAACUCUGUCUCAAAAAAAAAAAAAAAAAAAAA
RNAcentral lists this long non-coding RNA (1389 nucleotides) under Macaca fascicularis (crab-eating macaque). RNAcentral's name for it is "lncRNA (ENSMFAG00000049197.1)". The record is from RNAcentral. Lineage: Eukaryota; Metazoa; Chordata; Mammalia; Primates; Cercopithecidae.